Molecule: ribosomal RNA, 248 nt
Filed under: uncultured bacterium
Lineage: Bacteria
Description: partial 16S ribosomal RNA
Rfam family: Bacterial small subunit ribosomal RNA
Source: RNAcentral
CUGAUGGCGACCGGCGCACGGGUGAGUAACACGUAUCCAACCUGCCGUCUACUCUUGGCCAGCCUUCUGAAAGGAAGAUUAAUAUCCGAUAGCAUAUAUUUCCCGCAUGGGUUUUAUAUUAAAGAAAUUCGGUAUGAGAUGGGGAUGCGUUCCAUUAGUUUGUUGGGGGGGUAACGGCCCACCAAGACUACGAUGGAUAGGGGUUCUGAGAGGAAGGUCCCCCACAUUGGAACUGAGACACGGUCCAA